Molecule: ribosomal RNA, 253 nt
Filed under: uncultured bacterium
Lineage: Bacteria
Description: partial 16S ribosomal RNA
Rfam family: Bacterial small subunit ribosomal RNA
Source: RNAcentral
UACGUAGGGCGCAAGCGUUGUCCGGAAUUAUUGGGCGUAAAGAGCUCGUAGGCGGCUUGUUGCGUCGGUUGUGAAAGCCCGGGGCUUAACCCCGGGUCUGCAGUCGAUACGGGCAGGCUAGAGUGUGGUAGGGGAGAUCGGAAUUCCUGGUGUAGCGGUGAAAUGCGCAGAUAUCAGGAGGAACACCGGUGGCGAAGGCGGGUCUCUGGGCAACAACUGACGCUGAGGAGCGAAAGCGUGGGGAGCGAACAGG